RNAcentral lists this ribosomal RNA (329 nucleotides) under Shigella flexneri. RNAcentral describes it as "partial 23S ribosomal RNA". It matches the Rfam family "Bacterial large subunit ribosomal RNA", at positions 2614 to 2925 of the family's 2925-position model. The record is from RNAcentral. Lineage: Bacteria; Pseudomonadati; Pseudomonadota; Gammaproteobacteria; Enterobacterales; Enterobacteriaceae. RNAcentral also lists the same sequence under 1 other name.
GAACGUCGUGAGACAGUUCGGUCCCUAUCUGCCGUGGGCGCUGGAGAACUGAGGGGGGCUGCUCCUAGUACGAGAGGACCGGAGUGGACGCAUCACUGGUGUUCGGGUUGUCAUGCCAAUGGCACUGCCCGGUAGCUAAAUGCGGAAGAGAUAAGUGCUGAAAGCAUCUAAGCACGAAACUUGCCCCGAGAUGAGUUCUCCCUGACCCUUUAAGGGUCCUGAAGGAACGUUGAAGACGACGACGUUGAUAGGCCGGGUGUGUAAGCGCAGCGAUGCGUUGAGCUAACCGGUACUAAUGAACCGUGAGGCUUAACCUUACAACGCCGAAG